This is a long non-coding RNA of Mus spicilegus (steppe mouse), 1993 nucleotides long. NCBI's taxonomy places the organism in Eukaryota, Metazoa, Chordata, Mammalia, Rodentia, Muridae. The record is from Ensembl.
GUUAGGGUGGGAAGUCUUUCCUUAAUGCAGACGACUUUUGCUGAGGAGCCAUCUCUAUGCGGCUGCUGGGGGGCAGGGUGAGGGGCUGGAGAGGAGGUGCUGCCACUAUGGACAGCUCUUGAGGAACAGCUCCUGCAGUGGUGAUUUUUGAAAAACUAUGGGCUGAGGUAGGGAUGAUGCAGCCACCAUGGAUAGCUCCUGCAGCGCCUGUGAUGGCUGCAGGCUGAGGGGAUGCCGCCAUUUUGACAGGAGCCGCCAUUCUGGACAGCUCCUGUGGGACAUUUCACUGCUGGGGCAGGAAGGAGGGGCCUGGUGCCACUGCUUGGAGGGCUUUUGUGGUGUGCUGCUCUUGGACUAAUUUCUGAAGAGCAACCCAGUCUCUGUCUCCUGUUACAAGAGUGAAUGAAGAAUUCAACUGAACUUGGCCACAAACUCGAAUUCAACCAAGACUUUUCUUGUGCUUGCUCUGUCAGCCAAAGAAAUGCCUUUAUCUACAAUGUGCCAGCCAUUAUGAAGGGGGGCACAGAAGACUUCCCCUUACGUUACACAUUUUAAACACUCUGGAAAAACAGACAGCCGGCAGUAAAUAUGCAAACACUGUUGCCACUGGCAGGAGAAAGGACAAGGUGCAUCUUCACUGAGCAGGCAUCCUUAAGAAGGAAAAAGAAGACGCAGGGGCACCGAGUGCUGCCUUCUGGGAAGAUAUCAAAAACAUUCUACAGAAAACUUCAGAAGGCUUUGCCAAAGGGGCUCUCCUCCAGCUGGGCCAGUGGAUGGUGGGGAAGGAAGUCACCGUGGGGAAGGGGCCCUGGUGCAGCACGGUCAUCUACAAAGGCUGAAGCCUCUUCAGUAGGAACCGCACCUUUCAAGGCAGCACCGGGAUGUGGCCCAGAGGAAGCCUCUGAGGACUUAGCCCCCAGCACAGCAGCAUCAGCCACUCAGCCCGGGGAAAGUGGGAUGGCAACAAGGCCAGGUGAGAGGAGUAACACAUGACACACGUGAUCAUUCCCAAGCAGAGUGGAGGGCGUGACCAUUGUCACACACUGAACAAGGAAGAGCUCUUCUUCAUUCAGGAGGAAUUCCGGCUCCUACCCUAGGAUGGAUUCAUAUAAGCAAAUCUGACCUUCCCAGUGGCGGACUCUUCUCUUGUACAUUGGAGAGUUCUGGACAGAGUCAGUCCAUUCCAGAUGAUCCUCUCUGAGCACAUGCAGUUCCUAGUGUUCCAGCGUUGAGUCAAAGUAGCAUUUCCCGGGGCUUUUACAGCUUUUCUGAUUGUAUCUGUUACUCAAAGUAAUUCUUCAAAGUUGCAGUCCCUUGUGAGUCUGGGUGGUAUAAAGUAGCUGGCCUAGGAUGUAGGAGAUCAUGGCAUAGAGACUACGUACUGCAGAAGAGAAACUUUUAAAUGAGCCAAAGGAGUCGUUCUGAUGGCUGUAUUUUGUCUCUAUGGGGCAGCAUUUGCCUUCGUUCACACCCAAAGUACUCACUCCUACGUGCAUAAUUCCAAGUGUUUGCAUGUGCCCUGCCUUGUGGCUGUUCCUGCAAACAUCACAGUCAGCAGAAACAAUCUGGGUAAGGUCAAGUGAAACUCAGGUUCAGCCCUACUUCAGUUAGCCCGCUGGGCCAAAUCUUCCGGGGUCUGACAUCAAGCAAUUUAUAUCUUAACACUUUGAAACAUAGUAAAACUUUGGGGAAACUUCCACGUGACAGCUAUCACAACGGAGCUUCAUGACAGCACUUCAUGUUAAACCAAUUAUCUGUCGCAGCUCUUCAUUUUUGCUUUUGUUAAAAAGUUCCAAAGGAGCAAAGCAUUCUUCAGGGCAAGCUUCACUUCAGAUUUCUGCGAGAGCGUGAAGUAGAGAACAAAUAUGUGCUUAAGUUCCGUAACCACAUGAUGGAGUUCUUCCAGUCCCAGUGACACGCAGAAAAAGGGCAGGUUCCACUCUUCUGGAAUCUCCGUCACAAUCUCUCUUCCAACACUGGGAAGAAAGAAAAC